UACGGAGGGGGCUAGCGUUGUUCGGAAUUACUGGGCGUAAAGCGCACGUAGGCGGACUGGAAAGUCAGGGGUGAAAUCCCGGGGCUCAACCCCGGAACUGCCUUUGAAAAUCCCGGUCUUGAGGUCGAGAGAGGUGAGUGGAAGUUCGAGUGGAGAGGUGAAAUUCGUAGAUAUUCGGAGGAACACCAGUGGCGAAGGCGGCUCACUGGCUCGAUACUGACGCUGAGGUGCGAAAGCGUGGGGAGCAAACAGG
RNAcentral lists this ribosomal RNA (253 nucleotides) under uncultured bacterium. RNAcentral describes it as "partial 16S ribosomal RNA". It matches the Rfam family "Bacterial small subunit ribosomal RNA", at positions 524 to 776 of the family's 1533-position model. The record is from RNAcentral.